UGAUGGGUGACUUAAGCGUUACACUCUGGAUU
RNAcentral lists this non-coding RNA (32 nucleotides) under Mus musculus (house mouse). Lineage: Eukaryota; Metazoa; Chordata; Mammalia; Rodentia; Muridae. The record is from RNAcentral.